This 45-nucleotide non-coding RNA is filed under the name Trichobilharzia regenti. Lineage: Eukaryota; Metazoa; Platyhelminthes; Trematoda; Strigeidida; Schistosomatidae. The record is from RNAcentral.
AUCCAGCCGAUGAGUCCCAAACAUGACGAAACGCUCAUCCUGGAU